Molecule: long non-coding RNA, 498 nt
Organism: Oreochromis niloticus (Nile tilapia)
Lineage: Eukaryota; Metazoa; Chordata; Actinopteri; Cichliformes; Cichlidae
Exons: 3
Source: RefSeq, a predicted model, not a curated record
CCCAAGCACAAUGGACACUAAUGUUUUUGUCACUUUUUAUGGAAUCAAACUCAAAGUAAGAGGCCCUCUUAAAGCCGCCUGUCGGAGUGUCUGCCUGUCUGACCUCAGGUCGUGCACAAGCCCCUGUAAGUGUGGCGCCAGCGGCUGGACAGUCCAGACGAUACCAGCUGAUACCCUGUCAGCAGUGACGGCCGUGUUACUAGCACAAAAGAACUGAGAGUGUUGUGACACUCUGAAUCAAGAGCCAUGAGGAGAGCUGGCUGGUGGAGAGACGGGGGGCAGUCUUCAUUGCUGUCCUCCUCUUCCUCCUCCUCCACCACACUCUCAGACAGAGAUAAUGGGGGAGCUGAUAGCAGCCUUGGAGACUGCUGUGGCUCCAAGCACAGAUAUGGACCGAUAACGCCUCCACCACCUCGCCUGCUGCUGCCGCUAUGUAUAUGUGUGUGUGUGUGUGUGUGUGUGCAUCUAGAUGAAAGUGUGUAAAGCUGAAUCACAUGU